Molecule: long non-coding RNA, 537 nt
Organism: Hevea brasiliensis (rubber tree)
Lineage: Eukaryota; Viridiplantae; Streptophyta; Magnoliopsida; Malpighiales; Euphorbiaceae
Exons: 3
Source: RefSeq, a predicted model, not a curated record
AAUUAGUUCUAUUUAUUAAUCUCAAAUGCACACCACAUGUUUGUUACAUUGCCUAAAUGCGCGAUCAUUCCAUUCACGAGCUCUAACUAACCCUUCUAGCUAAUAUUAAAGUUUGAUUGAGUUGAGUCCAAUUCAAUGUGCUGAUGACAUGGUUGCAAAUAUGUGAUCCAAUUCAGCCAACUCGAUAAAGAGUACUGAAGUGGCAUGUCCAUUAGCAUCCAAGUGGUGGAAACAGAAGACUUGCAAGAAUCGAAUCUGCAUGGGUCUGCCUCAAUCAGCAACUGGACCACCUCAUUCAUAGUUGGGCGGAGGGCUGGGUUGUUACAGGUACAGCAGAUAGCAAUCCGCAGAACCUGGAUCAUCUCAUCCCUGAAAGACCCUGACAAUCGUUUGUCCAAUACUUCCAUAGCUCCUUCCUUGGUGUCUGCUUUUGCUGAAAUCCAAUAUAUUAUAUUCUUGUUCUCUCCAAAGUCUGCCUCUAGUGGCUUCUUCCCUGUUAUUAAUUCCAUCAGCACUACCCCAAAACUGUAGACAUCA